AGAAUCAACGCUGGCGGCGUGCCUAACACAUGCAAGUCGCACGAGAAAGGGGAGCAAUCCCUGAGUACAGUGGCGCACGGGUGAGUAACACGUGAAUAAUCUACCUCCGAGUGGGGAAUAACUGAGAGAAAUCUUAGCUAAUACCGCAUAACACUUAAGAGUCAAAGCAGCAAUGCGCUUGGAGAGGAGUUCGCGGCCGAUUAGUUAGUUGGCGGGUAAUGGCCCACAAGACGAUGAUCGGUA
This 243-nucleotide ribosomal RNA is filed under the name uncultured bacterium. RNAcentral describes it as "partial small subunit ribosomal RNA". It matches the Rfam family "Bacterial small subunit ribosomal RNA", at positions 26 to 285 of the family's 1533-position model. The record is from RNAcentral.